RNAcentral lists this ribosomal RNA (497 nucleotides) under uncultured bacterium. RNAcentral describes it as "partial 16S ribosomal RNA". It matches the Rfam family "Bacterial small subunit ribosomal RNA", at positions 28 to 507 of the family's 1533-position model. The record is from RNAcentral.
GAUGAACGCUGGCGGCGUGCCUAAUACAUGCAAGUCGAGCGAACGGACGAGAAGCUUGCUUCUCUGAUGUUAGCGGCGGACGGGUGAGUAACACGUGGAUAACCUACCUAUAAGACUGGGAUAACUUCGGGAAACCGUAGCUAAUACCGGAUAAUAUUUUGAACCGCAUGGUUCAAAAGUGAAAGACGGUCUUGCUGUCACUUAUAGAUGGAUCCGCGCUGCAUUAGCUAGUUGGUGAGGUAACGGCUUACCAAGGCAACGAUGCAUAGCCGACCUGAGAGGGUGAUCGGCCACACUGGAACUGAGACACGGUCCAGACUCCUACGGGAGGCAGCAGUAGGGAAUCUUCCGCAAUGGGCGAAAGCCUGACGGAGCAACGCCGCGUGAGUGAUGAAGGUCUUCGGAUCGUAAAACUCUGUUAUUAGGGAAGAACAUAUGUGUAAGUAACUGUGCACAUCUUGACGGUACCGAAUCAGAAAGCCACGGCUAACUACGUG